This 253-nucleotide ribosomal RNA is filed under the name uncultured bacterium. RNAcentral's name for it is "partial 16S ribosomal RNA". It matches the Rfam family "Bacterial small subunit ribosomal RNA", at positions 524 to 776 of the family's 1533-position model. The record is from RNAcentral.
UACGGAGGAUCCAAGCGUUAUCCGGAAUCAUUGGGUUUAAAGGGUCCGUAGGCGGGACAAUAAGUCAGCGGUGAAAGUCUGUGGCUCAACCAUAGAAUUGCCAUUGAUACUGUUGUUCUUGAGUGUUUAUGAAGUGGUUAGAAUAUGUAGUGUAGCGGUGAAAUGCAUAGAUAUUACAUAGAAUACCGAUUGCGAAGGCAGGUCACUAAUAAAAUACUGACGCUGAUGGACGAAAGCGUAGGUAGCGAACAGG